Molecule: ribosomal RNA, 490 nt
Filed under: uncultured bacterium
Lineage: Bacteria
Description: partial 16S ribosomal RNA
Rfam family: Bacterial small subunit ribosomal RNA
Source: RNAcentral
AUUGAACGCUGGCGGCAGGCCUAACACAUGCAAGUCGAACGGUAACAGGAAGCAGCUUGCUGCUUUGCUGACGAGUGGCGGACGGGUGAGUAAUGUCUGGGAAACUGCCUGAUGGAGGGGGAUAACUACUGGAAACGGUAGCUAAUACCGCAUAACGUCGCAAGACCAAAGAGGGGGACCUUAGGGCCUCUUGCCAUCGGAUGUGCCCAGAUGGGAUUAGCUAGUAGGUGGGGUAACGGCUCACCUAGUCGACGAUCCCUAGCUGGUCUGAGAGGAUGACCAGCCACACUGGAACUGAGACACGGUCCAGACUCCUACGGGAGGCAGCAGUGGGGAAUAUUGCACAAUGGGCGCAAGCCUGAUGCAGCCAUGCCGCGUGUAUGAAGAAGGCCUUCGGGUUGUAAAGUACUUUCAGCGGGGAGGAAGGGAGUAAAGUUAAUACCUUUGCUAAUUGACGUUACCCGCAGAAGAAGCACCGGCUAACUCCGUG